AUAAUGGUACUCCCGUCCAGUCACAAGUCCGAGCGUGAUAAAACCGUCGCAGACAAUGAGGGCGGCUCUGGCAGACCGUCAGAGGGGUGGAACUCCCGUGG
Molecule: regulatory RNA element, 101 nt
Organism: Firmicutes bacterium CAG:646
Lineage: Bacteria; Bacillati; Bacillota
Rfam family: pemK RNA
Source: Rfam